Molecule: non-coding RNA, 205 nt
Filed under: Rhodopseudomonas palustris
Lineage: Bacteria; Pseudomonadati; Pseudomonadota; Alphaproteobacteria; Hyphomicrobiales; Nitrobacteraceae
Also listed under: 1 other name
Source: RNAcentral
UUUCGUUCGGUCAUCUUCGGUGCCCUUGUUCGGAAGGGUGAAACGGGAAUGCAGUGCGGCGAGCAAUCGCCAAAGCUGCGGCUGCCCCCGCAACUGUAAGCGGAUUGUCCGCGAUCACUAAGUCACUGAGGCGAGUUUCGGCCUUGGGAAGACGAUCGGGACCGUAUCCGUGAGCCAGGAGACCGGCCGAGGAUUUGUCGCAAUG